GAACCAAUGUCGGCUGUGCUCACUGCAGGAGUGACAUGGGGAGGGGGAGGUACAUGGUCACCUCAGUGCUGCAUCUUCCCAACAGCUCUCAGCAGCAUCACAGCCAACUCAUAUUAAGAUAGAAAGUCAUCCCAUAGUCUGCCACUGCGGCUUGUCCAGAAGCAAAGUAAGGUAAAAGCAAGGUUUAGCAGUAGACUCCCAGAAGGGUAAGGAAGCCAGACCCUCAGGAAUGCAGGGAGAGCCCUUGUGGUAUCCCUUCUGACUGCAAGGGCCAAGGCAGCAGCAGACAGCGGUAUUCCUCCUCACCUAUUGGACUGAGCCAAGUCAAAGACCUCCACUGUACUGGGGUUCCGCUGCAGCUCUUGAAAGCGCUUGGUAUAGAAAUCGAGGUCCCAGGAGUCAAGAGCCAAACCUAGGAGACAAACCCUAGAAAAGCUGACAACAUGCUCCGGGCCACCAUAGUCCAUGUCUCAGUAAUCCCACUGAACUAUGUCAGGCCCUUCCCACCCUCCCCUCCUCCUGCACAGACUCCUGCUCACCUAGCUCCUGGUUGGCCUUCUCCAGGGCAGGCCGACCCUCAGCUAGUAUGUCGAUGGAGCCCUUGAGUGGGGCUGGAAUGCUCUGAGGAGAGAAGCUCUGGAUGGGGUCAGGGUAGUGCUGCUCUGUCAUCCGGUCGUGCAAGGCGGCCAGAGAGAUGGCUUCCAUUUCAGCUGUAGGGUGGUCGGUAAACUGGUGUUGGGAAGAUCCAGUCAUAAGAAAACAAAAGACAAGGCUGAAGAAAAGAGAAAAAGGACUCGCUCUGGACCUCCAAGCUAUUCACCUCACUACUACCACAUUGCACCACUUUUCUGUUCUAGUGCAGAGAUCAAGGCCAGGGUUUGUAUAUAGGAGGUGAAUUCCCACCACUGAGCUAUGCACACUCAGACCCAUGCAGCGUCUUUGUUCAGACUAAAAGGAUGCACAGAUAAGUCUGGUUAGUCAGGCUGGCCGAUUCUCCCUUCACAGGUACCUUCAAGCAGCAAACAACCAAACCUCCUAAGCAUACAGGACAGGCCAAAAGCCAAGAGCUUUCCCCCUGCUUCUCCCAUGACUCUGCUCGAGUUCAGGAUCUAAUCUCUGGCCCACUCGCUCCUCUUGAUCUCCUACCACAAUGCCCACACCUUACCGAAAGUCGGUAACGUCGGGUGGUCUCUACCCGAUCCACAGCCCUCAGCCCGGCUGCCUGGCACACAGAAACAAUGUUGGUCGAUGCUGGAGUCGAGAAAUUCAGCCUGAGGAAAGAGUCAGAUGGUUAUAAUCUGAAGGCCUUGGCAAGAAUCAGUUGGGAAGGUAGAUCUUGCCCACUGCUAUCGACCCAACACACCACUGGCCUCUGGUUUCAGACUGGAUGCCAAGGACACCUGCUUUCAAAAAUUAAUCAGAAGAUGGAGAAAUAAUUCCAAGUUUGGUUCCUUGUACCCAUGUCAGGCUCACACCUGCCUGAGACUCUAGUUCUAGGGGGCCCCGAUGCCUCCAUUGGCGCUGCACUCAGGUACAUAGACCCAUACAGAAACCCAGUAUGGGAAACUUAGCCACAUCAUGUUACAAAAGAAAAGCUGUUCAAUGGCACAGUGCUUACUGAGAUGCGUUAAGUCCUACAGUCAGUCCCUAAGCCACGGAAGUGGAGACUCAAGCUCUCCGAGUGUAAGCUGCUGGCUCUAGAGUACACUUGGGAGCUAGUUCAGCUUUCAGGACAUUUGCCCGCCCAGGGAAAAUAUUCGUAUGACUUCCUAGGCAGAGAGAAGGAUGGAACAAAGAAAAAUCGCCAAAGACUAAAGGUGAAAGAAAUGGAGGUGAAGGUUGGGUAGGGAGUGUGAAAGGGAGACAUGCCUGGGAACGAGGGGACAAGCUGCCCAGGGCACCUGCCACAUACCUGGGUCCCACCUCCAGCAACAAAUCGUUGGAGCCAGGAACAAGCCAGGGCUCCUGAGCAACAUCAUCCCGCACCAAAGGGCAGCCGAACAGCCACAUCAACUUCUUCAUCUCCUCAGCCCAUGGAAGGGUCUCAGCUGCAGAGACAAGACAAGGGCACCUCAAGAUCACCUCCUUUUAAGAAACCAAUGGAAAGAGGGGCAGGGGGAUCUCUUUGGGUUCUAGGCCAGCUUAGUCUACAUUUCAAGCUCCUAGUACUACAACGGAGAGAUCUGCCUCAAAUUAAAAGCCAAACAACAAAAACAGAAUCCAAUACUUAGGGGCUGAGAUUCUUUUUCUUUUUGAGACAGGGUUUCUCUGUGUAGCCCUUGCUGUUCUGGAACUCACUCUGUAGACCAGGCUGGCCUUGAACUCAGAAAUCUGCCUGCCUCUGCCUCCCAAGUGCUGGGAUUAAAGGCAUGCGCCACCAGUGCCUGGUGCUGAGAUACAUUUUAAGCUCCAAGUACUACAUUUCAUGCAGUCAGCACUACAACGGAGAGAUCUGCCUCAAGUUAAAAGCCAAACAACAAAAACAGAAUCCAAUACUUUAGGGGGCUGAGAUGGACCCAGAAGUUAAAAGAACUGGCUAUUCUUCCAGGGGAUCCAUGCCCUCUUCUGGCCUUGUACACACGGUAAGCAAACAUUCAGGUAAAACACAAACGUACUCAAUGUACCUGUAGUCAAGUGUGACAACCUGAGUCCGAUCCCCAGGAAGCCACAUGGAAGGAAAAUAGUAAAUCAGUAAAGCAGGAGGCUAAAGAGAUGGCUCAGGGGUUAAUAUCACCAUCCGCUCUUACAGAAAACCCAGUAUCAAUUCCCACCCCCACAUCAGAAGGCCACGUCUAUGCCCAGCCUUAGGGGAUCCAAAGCUGCCUUCUGAACUCUUGCACACAUAUACACACUCACAUAUACAAAUCCAUACAUAUAUACUCAAUUAACAAUAAAAUAGAAACAAAAUGUAAUAAAGAAGUAAAUCAAAAACAAAAAGCCAAUGCCUGACACUGGAUGUGCUAAUACACCAGAGUAAGUCUAGCACUCAGGGAAAGGCAGCAGAAUCAAGAGUUCAAGGCCAUCCCCGUCACAGAGAGAAUUCCAGACCACUCUGGGCUACAUGAUCCUCAGAGUCAAACAACCCACCAAAAAACAAAACAAAAUUUAAACCCAGCAUCUGGCCUCACCUGCCCAGUGUACAUUGUAGCACAGCUCAGUCUCCACACUCUGAAGUGUUGGCAGUUUCUCUUGUAGUCUCCGAAAAACACGUCCAGAUGCUGCCCCCUCAUGGCCAGAGGGGCGGACAUAAAAGUGAAGGACAGGGGCCAUUUCUGCAGAUGACCUUUUAGAAAAGAAUUUGGCUCC
This 3306-nucleotide long non-coding RNA is filed under the name Mus musculus (house mouse). Its description in RNAcentral is "long non-coding RNA chr11:69000567-69003873". Lineage: Eukaryota; Metazoa; Chordata; Mammalia; Rodentia; Muridae. The record is from RNAcentral.